RNAcentral lists this signal recognition particle RNA (250 nucleotides) under Lachnospiraceae bacterium. Its description in RNAcentral is "signal recognition particle sRNA large type". The stretch from base 103 to 202 matches the Rfam family "Bacterial small signal recognition particle RNA". The record is from RNAcentral. Lineage: Bacteria; Bacillati; Bacillota; Clostridia; Lachnospirales; Lachnospiraceae.
UCAUAUUGCUUGACAGCACCCGCCAAACAAGCUAUACUAAAAAAGUCGCAUAUACGGAUUUUGGCGGGCGCUUCUAUGGCGGCUUUUCUUUCCGGUGAUGAAGUUUGGGUCUUGCGCAAUGGACAUCUGCGAACCGUGUCAGGGUGGGAACACAGCAGCACUAAGCAGAACCGUCCAUGUGCCGCGAGGGUGCCUGGCGGAGCCGGUGGGAGAGUAUCGCGUAGAAGUGUCCACCAAAAACCGGAUAUGC